GAAACGGAAACUAAAACCGGAUAGGUAAUAGAGAAGCAUUUCUGUAUUAUUAAAGAAGCCUCAAAGCUUUGAACAUGGAUGGACCUGCGGUGCAUUAGCUAGUUGGUAAGGUAACGGCCUACCAAGGCGACGAUGCAUAGCCGACCUGAGAGGGCGAACGGCCACAUUGGGACUGAGACACGGCCCAAACUCCUACGGGAGGCAGCAGUAGGGAAUUUUCGUCAAUGGGGGGAACCCUGAACGAGCAAUGCCGCGUGAGUGAAGACGGUCUUCGGAUUGUAAAGCUCUGUUGUGAGAGAAAAAGGAUAUAUAUAGGAAAUGAUAUGUAUUUGAUGGUAUCUCACCAGAAAGUCACGGCUAACUACGUGCCAGCAGCCGCGGUAAUACGUAGGUGGCGAGCGUUAUCCGGAAUGAUUGGGCGUAAAGGGUACGUAGGCGGCAUGAUAAGUCUGGAGUGAAAGGCUACAGCUCAACUGUAGUAUGCUCUGGAGACUGUCAAGCUAGAGUGCAGAAGAGGGCAAUGGAACUCCAUGUGUAGCGGUAAAAUGCGUAGAUAUAUGGAAGAACACCGGUGGCGAAGGCGGUUGCCUGGUCUGAAACUGACGCUGAAGUACGAAAGCGUGGGGAGCAAAUAGGAUUAGAUACCCUAGUAGUCCACGCCGUAAACGAUGAGAACUAGGUGUUGGGGGAAUAACUCAGUGCC
RNAcentral lists this ribosomal RNA (703 nucleotides) under uncultured bacterium. RNAcentral describes it as "bacterial SSU rRNA". It matches the Rfam family "Bacterial small subunit ribosomal RNA", at positions 153 to 847 of the family's 1533-position model. The record is from RNAcentral.